RNAcentral lists this ribosomal RNA (832 nucleotides) under uncultured bacterium. Its description in RNAcentral is "bacterial SSU rRNA". It matches the Rfam family "Bacterial small subunit ribosomal RNA", at positions 60 to 880 of the family's 1533-position model. The record is from RNAcentral.
AGUCGCGGGGCAGCAUGGAUGUCCUUUCGGGGACAUCUGAUGGCGACCGGCGUACGGGUGAGUAACUCGUAUCCAACCUGCCCUUUACAACGGGACAGCCCGUCGAAAGGCGGAUUAAUACCGUAUGUUGUCAUGUUGAUGCAUAUUUUCAUGACCAAAGGCUUCGGCCGGUAAAGGAUGGGGAUGCGUCUGAUUAGCUUGCCGGCGGGGUAACGGCCCACCGGGGCGACGAUCAGUAGGGGUUCUGAGAGGAAGGUCCCCCACAUUGGAACUGAGACACGGUCCAAACUCCUACGGGAGGCAGCAGUGAGGAAUAUUGGUCAAUGGGCGCGAGCCUGAACCAGCCAAGUAGCGUGCAGGACGACGGCCCUAUGGGUUGUAAACUGCUUUUAUACGGGGAUAAAGUAUGCCACGUGUGGUUUAUUGCAGGUACCGUAUGAAUAAGGACCGGCUAAUUCCGUGCCAGCAGCCGCGGUAAUACGGAAGGUCCGGGCGUUAUCCGGAUUUAUUGGGUUUAAAGGGAGCGUAGGCCGGGUUUUAAGCGUGCCGUGAAAUGUCGGGGCUCAACCUUGACACUGCGGCGCGAACUGGAGUCCUUGAGUGCGCGGAACGUAUGCGGAAUUCGUGGUGUAGCGGUGAAAUGCUUAGAUAUCACGAAGAACCCCGAUUGCGAAGGCAGCAUACGGCAGCGCUACUGACGCUGAAGCUCGAAGGCGCGGGUAUCGAACAGGAUCAGAUACCCUGGUAGUCCGCGCGGUAAACGAUGGAUGCCCGCUGUUGGCGAUAUAUUGUCAGCGGCCAAGCGAAAGCGUUAAGCAUCCCACCUGGGGAG